UGGGCAGGCCAGCAUCAGUUUAGGCGGUUAGAUAAAGGUCUCUGUCAUGUACCUCUCUUCGGGGAGGCUUAUAGGGGAGACGACAUGUAACCAGCUUAGAUUGAGGUCCGCGCAUCUGCUAGGAUGCUGGCGUAAUGGCUGUAAGCGGCCCGUCUUGAAACACGGACCAAGGAGUCUAACAUCUAUGCGAGUGUUUGGGUGUCAAGCCCAGACGCGUAAUGAAAGUGAACGGAGGUAGGAACCCUUUGGGUGCACUAUCGACCGAUCCUGAUGUCUUCGGAAGGAUUUGAGUAAGAGCAUGGCUGUUGGGACCCGAAAGAUGGUGAACUAUGCUUGAAUAGGGUGAAGCCAGAGGAAACUCUGGUGGAGGCUCGCAGCGGUUCUGACGUGCAAAUCGAUCGUCAAAUUUGGGCAUAGGGGCGAAAGACUAAUCGAACUAUCUAGUAGCUGGUUCCUGCCGAAGUUUCCCUCAGGAUAGCAGUAACGUUUUCAGUUUUAUGAGGUAAAGCGAAUGAUUAGAGGCCUGGGGGUUGAAACAACCUUCACCUAUUCUCAAACUUUAAAUAUGUAAGAAGUCCUUGUUACUUGAUUGAACGUGGACAUUUGAAUGUAUCGUUACUAGUGGGCCAUUUUUGGUAAGCAGAACUGGCGAUGCGGGAUGAACCGAACGCGGGGUUAAGGUGCCAGAAUAUACGCUCAUCAGACACCACAAAAGGUGUUAGUUCAUCUAG
This 731-nucleotide ribosomal RNA is filed under the name uncultured Ascomycota. Its description in RNAcentral is "LSU rRNA". It matches the Rfam family "Eukaryotic large subunit ribosomal RNA", at positions 488 to 1236 of the family's 3401-position model. Lineage: Eukaryota; Fungi; Ascomycota. The record is from RNAcentral.